GCCGCAGCGGUAGAGAGUCAGCCGCGCACCAGCCCAGCCGCUCAGUCGCUCGCAGCACGCCGCACCGAGCAGUCGCUGCCUCACUACCUGACCUGCCGCACCGCACGCACAGUCAGAUCCUCACUGCGUAGUCCAGAGCCUAAACAGCACCAGCCAACGCAGAGAUCCCUCUAGCUGCAAUUUUUGCUGAUAUACACAGAGUACACCUCCGAGAAACGCGUACUUCGUGGCCAGUACUACUGGUUCUGAAAGGAACGAUUACGACGCAGGUGUCACAGUGUGCGUGGAUAAAGAGCGGUUCCUGUCUAGCCGUCGCCAACUGAGUGGUUAUCACUCAAGAAGAGGCAGCCGGGUAUAGGGGAUUCACUCAUUCAACGAGCUGCAGAGGUGGAGAAACCUGGUUACUGGUAGACUGCGCAAUCCGUGACAUCUGUUGACUGCAAGAAAGAUACCGGUUUACCUUGAAG
Molecule: long non-coding RNA, 467 nt
Organism: Schistocerca americana (American grasshopper)
Lineage: Eukaryota; Metazoa; Arthropoda; Insecta; Orthoptera; Acrididae
Exons: 5
Source: RefSeq, a predicted model, not a curated record